CUCAGUUCGGAUCGGAGUCUGCAACCCGACUCCGUGAAGCUGGAUUCGCUAGUAAUCGCGCAUCAGCCAUGGCGCGGUGAAUACGUUCCCGGGCCUUGUACACACCGCCCGUCAAGCCAUGGGAGCCGGGGGUACCUGAGGUCCGUAACCGCGAGGAUCGGCCUAGGGUAAAACUGGUGACUGGGGCUAAGUCGUAACAAGGUACC
Molecule: ribosomal RNA, 206 nt
Filed under: uncultured bacterium
Lineage: Bacteria
Description: partial 16S ribosomal RNA
Rfam family: Bacterial small subunit ribosomal RNA
Source: RNAcentral